This 76-nucleotide transfer RNA is filed under the name Candidatus Peregrinibacteria bacterium. RNAcentral describes it as "tRNA-Arg". It matches the Rfam family "tRNA". From Rfam's summary of the family: Transfer RNA (tRNA) molecules are approximately 80 nucleotides in length. Their secondary structure includes four short double-helical elements and three loops (D, anti-codon, and T loops). Further hydrogen bonds mediate the characteristic L-shaped molecular structure. tRNAs have two regions of fundamental functional importance: the anti-codon, which is responsible for specific mRNA codon recognition, and the 3' end, to which the tRNAs corresponding amino acid is attached (by aminoacyl-tRNA synthetases). tRNAs cope with the degeneracy of the genetic code in two manners: having more than one tRNA (with a specific anti-codon) for a particular amino acid; and 'wobble' base-pairing, i.e. permitting non-standard base-pairing at the 3rd anti-codon position. The record is from RNAcentral. Lineage: Bacteria; Candidatus Peregrinibacteriota.
GCCCGCGUAGCUCAGUGGAUAGAGCAGCAGCCUUCUAAGCUGAAGGUCGGAGGUUCAAUUCCUCCCGCGGGUACCA